AGUAAGAUCCCUGAAAGAUGAUCAGGUUGAUAGGUUCGAGGUGGAAGCAUGGUGACAUGUGGAGCUGACGAAUACUAAUAGAUCGAGGACUUAACCAUAUAA
This 102-nucleotide ribosomal RNA is filed under the name Bacillus cereus. RNAcentral's name for it is "partial 23S ribosomal RNA". It matches the Rfam family "Bacterial large subunit ribosomal RNA", at positions 2827 to 2925 of the family's 2925-position model. The record is from RNAcentral. RNAcentral also lists the same sequence under 1 other name. Lineage: Bacteria; Bacillati; Bacillota; Bacilli; Caryophanales; Bacillaceae.